Molecule: ribosomal RNA, 497 nt
Filed under: uncultured bacterium
Lineage: Bacteria
Description: partial 16S ribosomal RNA
Rfam family: Bacterial small subunit ribosomal RNA
Source: RNAcentral
GAUGAACGCUGGCGGCGUGCCUAAUACAUGCAAGUCGAGCGAACGGACGAGAAGCUUGCUUCUCUGAUGUUAGCGGCGGACGGGUGAGUAACACGUGGAUAACCUACCUAUAAGACUGGGAUAACUUCGGGAAACCGGAGCUAAUACCGGAUAAUAUUUUGAACCGCAUGGUUCAAAAGUGAAAGACGGUCUUGCUGUCACUUAUAGAUGGAUCCGCGCUGCAUUAGCUAGUUGGUAAGGUAACGGCUUACCAAGGCAACGAUGCAUAGCCGACCUGAGAGGGUGAUCGGCCACACUGGAACUGAGACACGGUCCAGACUCCUACGGGAGGAAGCAGUAGGGAAUCUUCCGCAAUGGGCGAAAGCCGGACGGAGCAACGCCGCGUGAGUGAUGAAGGUCUUCGGAUCGUAAAACGCUGUUAUUAGGGAAGAACAUAUGUGUAAGUAACUGUGCACAUCUUGACGGUACCUAAUCAGAAAGCCACGGCUAACUAAGUG